CCUACACAGGGGAUUUUCAUUGUACAAAUAAAACAACUCUUAUCGAUAAUCUAUUGGUGAUGCAAUCAUGUAAACAUGUCCAAAUCAUGGGAUAGCAUCAUUUUCCAUCAUAAUUGCUUGUUUUGUAUAUUGCAAUUUAAUGUCAAAAUCAAAUUUUAAUUUUAACAACAUAUUUAACCUCAAGUUGGUUUUGAUGGAAAUCAAUUUUUUAAUAAAUUUUAAUAAAAUUUGAUGAUUUGACUUUUUAAUUCAAUUUUUUAAGUUGAACCAAGCAAGUUUAGUUGGACACAUGAAUACAUCCCAUUUAUAUAUCAUUUCUUCCUACCAGGAGCGAAUUCAGCAUUGAGAUUGAACACGAGUUACAAUAUAAAUAUAUAUAAAAUUAUCUUUAAGAAAAAUUAAAUAUUUUUAGGAUUCAGGCACGGGUUAUAGCACAGUCGAACCCGUGCCUGGAUCCACUAUUGCUUCCUACCAAUUUAUAAUUUCAUUAAUUUGUAGUUACUUCUAAACAAGCACAAUUAACAUCGAAACACGAUCAAAUUUCAAUUUAAUCCUACAUUUCAAUAACUUCUAAUCAAAAAUUUAGUUAAACUUUUUAUCAAAUUUUUUGUCAAAUAACCCCAUAAAUUUGUUGCAUCACGCUGUAUUAAAAUUAUGACAUUUUAAGAAUUACUUAUAAAUAAUACCAUGUGGCAUCCUUAUUGGUGUUUAACACCAAAUUGGAGGUUUCUCUGUAUAUCUUGGAUACAACCUCAUUUUAUGAUCGAAAUAGAGUGUCGCAGCACGGUCCUUUACAUAACGUGAAUAUAGAUCUCUGGUAAGUCCCCGUUUGGUCUCAUUAUUUUAUAUUAUUAUAAUUUUUAGAAUAGUAUUUUUUUGAAAAAUACAUAGUUUAAUAUUCUUUUAUGAAAGUUUGUGUAGUUGAAAAUAAAAGAAAGAAAAAUUAUAAAGUAAACUAAUGGGGGCCAAGCGGGUAUUAAAUUUUUGUUGCAUAAAUGAUAUAGAUUCGAUCUUUGUUUUCUUAGUUCGGAUUGAGUUUUGAUAACACACCGAUGAUUUGGUGUGAUAAUACGAGUGCUUGCACAUUGUUCUCUAAUUCAAUAUUCCACUCAAGAACAACACAAAUCGAAAUUGACAUUUGUUUCAUGAAAGAUAAAAGUCUCGAAGAAAGAGAUUGAAAUUAGAUAUGCGGCUUCGUAUGAUCAAGUGGAAAAUCUAUUCACCAAGCGACUUUCACAUUAUUGGUUUCA
RNAcentral lists this long non-coding RNA (1250 nucleotides) under Olea europaea subsp. europaea. Lineage: Eukaryota; Viridiplantae; Streptophyta; Magnoliopsida; Lamiales; Oleaceae. The record is from RNAcentral.